Long non-coding RNA from Ictalurus furcatus (blue catfish), 1274 nucleotides. RefSeq lists it as uncharacterized. The record is from RefSeq and is a predicted model, not a curated record. The transcript has 3 exons. Lineage: Eukaryota; Metazoa; Chordata; Actinopteri; Siluriformes; Ictaluridae.
UACCGUUACAGCUGGUAGCCCACAGUUGCGUGUAAAAGUUGAGCUGCAAACAGUAAAAAUAAGGCUCUUGGUUUCUGAUUUAAAAAUUUUACUCUACAGUUGAUCUAUAAAACAGAAAUCCGUGUUAACUUAAUUGUGUUUUAUUACUGAAAACAGGAGUUAUUAUCAUGCAGCAGCUGUCAUCGCAGGCGGUUCAGGGGCGGGGUUACACUUUCUUACGCCCAUAAAUUUGUUGGAGGAGGGGGUGUUUGUUUUUGUUUGUUUGUUUGGUUGGUUGGUUGAUCGGUUUUUCAUAUAUUUUAAUACUGGCGACAUUUUCUGGUUAUAAGAUAGCAUAUCAAAAUAUGCUAUCUGCACUUUUACAAUGAAAGCAUUUAUUAUUAUUAUUAUUAUUAUUAUUAUUAUUAUUAUUAUUAUUGUUGUUGUUGUUGUUGUUGUUGUUAUUGUUGUUUUUAUCACCAUUUUUAUAUUUUUGUCCAAAUUAUAGUACUGUAGUUCACAAGCCAUUCACAUGAACUCUGCUGUGUCAAUGUAGGUUCCUAAAUACUCUUAAAGGAUGAAAGCAAAGUAUUCUGGGACUGAUUUGGUAAACUGAAACCCAGUCAGCUCUGUGUCAAGUCUGUCACACCUACAGUUUGUUUAUUGUGUCACAGUGGGUGCAGUAUCAGGGACUUCCUGGCAUCCACACUAAAUUAUCCAGGGCUUUCUGUGGGAGCAGAAAUGGCUCAGUGUUCCCCAACAAAAAGGCCAUUGAGAGCCAGUGGAAGGCCUCCCAUGGGCACCCACGCUGCUGAACAUACUAAAUCGCUGCAGUGGAGAUAGAGAAACAGCUCCCUGCGGGAAAUGGCUGCAGCGGGAAACAAGUUUGGGCAGUAUCCAGGACUGAGGAGCCUGUGUGGGGGUCCAGACUGGAGCCAGACUGCUGAUUUCCCCCCUCCUAAGAGUGGGCAGGAAGUGCAAGAUGAGGAGAGGAAGAGGAGUGAAGUAUACAGAGAGGAAUGGGAUAUAGACCAGCAUGCAGCAGCACCCUGCUGCUCCAACCCAUCUUGUUUCAUGUGUUUAUAGCUGCGUGUUUAUCUCAUGCAUUUUAAUUCUAUUCAGGAAUAAAGAUAAGUGGAUACCUCAGAAUUCAGUAAUGUGUGAAUUCAGUCAGAACAUUUCUCGUCUAUUUUUCUGUUUAGUAUUGGGUGAUGUCGUUUAUAUAAUGAGUUUAUAACCGUUUCAGGGAGAACUAAGACAUAUGAAUGUUACAGGAGCCCUUAUGAUGUGAAACA